This is a long non-coding RNA of Lagopus muta (rock ptarmigan), 2757 nucleotides long. RefSeq lists it as uncharacterized. The transcript has 4 exons. The record is from RefSeq and is a predicted model, not a curated record. NCBI's taxonomy places the organism in Eukaryota, Metazoa, Chordata, Aves, Galliformes, Phasianidae.
GCCGGCCGGAGCCGCUCUGCGAGGACGGGGGAGCGGAGCGAGGCGGGCAGUGGGCGCCCGGCGGGGAGAAGUGCCGGAGGGAGCGGGUGCGCGUGUGCGUGCGCUCGGGGGAGGUUCUAGGACAGACUGGGCCCCACUCCUCAACUCCCUCUCCUUGCCCUCGGAGAGCUUUUGCACAUUUUCAUGUGAACAAACAGUUGACUUUUGAGGAAAACUCUUCCAUCAGGACAACGUUGUGCUGCUACAUAUCCCACUGACAUUAGGGAAUAAGUGCCAAAGAUCUGACAAAAUAUUAGCUUCUACAUGUAAAACCUAUGAAUUUUCAGAUGAUGGAAGCUGCUCAAGUAACUCUCAUAUCAAACUUCCAGAAGGUGUCACUGUGCACCUAUGCUUUGAAUGGAGAACCUCAUCAGUUGAGGAUUAAUAAUGUUACGUGCCAAGCGCUAUUCCUAUUGGGGGUCUUUUUUUUUCUCUGCUCACAGUGGAAAGCAACCAAACUAGAUCUGGGAACAAAAAAUGUUUUCCUCUCUUCAUGAUUAAUAAAGGAAAAAAAAGGUAUCAACGUCACUCAAGAGAUUCAUAUCCAGCCAUGACCUUCAGAAAUAUUCCCAAUAUUCUGUGUCAUAAGUAAGCUAAUUGUUAUGCAGACUCCUUUCUAUUGAAAAAUACUAAAUAUAGUUAAAUUAUAGAAGAAUCCAAAAGUGACAUGACUGCAAUUUUAAGGUCUGGUGUGGGAAUGCAAGAAAAACUGUUCAGAGCAGAAGCUGUGGAGCAAGAUAAACAGCAUGAGAACCAAGGACACCUCUAGAAGAAGAAAACAUCUUACGGCUCUGAUUGGAUAAGCACCUGUGUGAAUGGUUGAAGAAUGUUUUGUAGAAUGCUCUGUUGGCAUGUAAAGGUGGAUGGGAAAGUUGUAAGGGUGGAUGGGAAAGCUAGAAAAAGAAAACUUGUGAAGGUAUAUAAGUGACGUGAGAACUUGUAAUAAACUAUUUGGAUCAUUCACAUCUGAGUCCGAUCAUCAGAUGCUGCAGUCUGGAAAACUACAAAAGUACUUUGUAAUUAUAUUCCAGAGCUGAUUCAGAAAGGAAGAUUGAUAGAUUAAUUUAGAACCAGCGCUCCUGAACAGCUUGGUUUUUCAGAGCAGUAUCAAAGUGCUUUUAGAGACCUGGUUGCACAGUGUGACUGCACUGUAAUACUGUGCCUUGGCAACAUUCCUAAGGAAGACACCGGGACUUGUGAUGCUGAUUUGUAAUCAAAUUUUGGGCCAAAGAAAAUCUGGAGGAAUUUGGAGAAUGAUGUAGAAUGAUUAAAAGACCAAUGGGAGAAAACAUCAUUCACUUGCCAGAGGGAAGAAUGUGAAAAGACACGAUGGCUAAAAUAAACCGUAAUUCCUUUAAUGAAGAAGAAAGAAAGAAAAAAAAAAGAGGGCAAUAAGAAACUGCAAAAGAAUGCUGAACUACCUGCCAUUUGAAGAAGCUGCUUCCAAGAUUUUCCAGAGAGAAAGAGCUGGUGUUUUUCCUCUGUAUCCUUUAGCUAAACUGUUGAUCCCAGCUGGUAGAAGAAGAUCCUGAGUAUAUUUUUAAGUUACCUAUAAAUUGAAUUGACUGAUUAACGUUCAGCUAAGCAGGCAAGAUAUUAGUCAGUGUAGUAUUUUAUCCCACUUAAAGAAGGUUGUCAUGUGUUAAUGAAAACAAACUCUGUAAUUUAGGCCAGUCUAGGAUUGCUUUGCUGACAACAUUCUAGAAGUACUGCAAUAGUUUAGCUUUUGUGAUCACUGAAUUCUUCCUCUGACAGUAAUAUCCAACCUGCUCAGGCUUUGGCAUUUUGCAUGUUGAAGGUGCAUAGCUAAAAAAGGAAUUUUAGUGUUAUUUCACAGGUAAAAUAUGUAAAUCACUAAACUAGAAAAACCCAUGAUUGCUAAUUAAUACAAAUUAUCUCUGAGGGCUAGAAAAUUUGCACAUCGUUAAUAUGCAAGCAGUACAUCCAUUAAUGUGUAAUACAUCAUUAUUUUGACAACUUUUACAAAAGAAUGCCCUCUGAUUUUUGUCAGCAUAGCUAUUGCUGGCUCACAGAGAGCACUGAACAAUAAAUAUCUAUUCUCUGAGCAGUGUUUAUCGAUGCCAAAGAAAAAUCUUUGAUAAAGUAAAAAACAGUGAUUACGCCAACUAGAUUCAGUAAUUACAGAACAGUUUAAAAGGACCUUGUGAGGAGCUCUUUGUUUCGCAAGCUGAGUGUUUCAGAGUACACUGUUUACAGCAGAGCUCCUACAAGGACCUAUAGGUCUGAGCCAGGCUUCCUCCCUGUACGCAGGCAUCCAAACAUGCCAUCCAGAAAACUCCAAAUCACUGAGCAAGGAGCUGCUCCGUGGGGACAGAGGGAACUCCCAAACAGAGGAAUAAGUGUUUGCGGUGCAUCUUUUUUUUCACUGUGAAUUUCACUUUGAGUUCUGAUCUCCCAGGCUGGUGGCAUGGCUGCAGGAGAUGGCCUACAUCAGCCUCUGCUUCCAGAAGGGCCCCAUCAGAUUUGGAUGUGGCUAAACGUGGAGGAGAGGGGGAUGACCUUCCAUUCUGGCUGCCCUGGAAUUUCCUAUGGAUUUUGGUUCAGGCUCAAUGAGUACCUAUUAAGAAGGAAAAGUGAAUCUCACAUCUCUACUUGGUAAAGUCGAGUCAGAGAAAGGUUUUCAAGUGGGGCUGCCCGUAAUUUGGGCAACAGCAGUAAGUAGUGGGCUAUCAAAUGAGAAAGCACUCCUCUGUCCUG